GCGUCGGUGGUGCAAAGGUUAGCAUCCGCUCCUGAAAAGAAUGAGAUCUAGGUUCGGAUCCCGGGUGGCGCA
Parelaphostrongylus tenuis is the source of this 72-nucleotide non-coding RNA. The record is from the annotation of a GenBank genome assembly. Lineage: Eukaryota; Metazoa; Nematoda; Chromadorea; Rhabditida; Metastrongylidae.